Phodopus roborovskii (desert hamster) is the source of this 141-nucleotide small nuclear RNA. RefSeq annotates it as U4 spliceosomal RNA. The record is from RefSeq and is a predicted model, not a curated record. The transcript has a single exon. Lineage: Eukaryota; Metazoa; Chordata; Mammalia; Rodentia; Cricetidae.
UGUUUUUUGUAAUGGCAAAAUCAUAGCAAAUGAGGUUUAUCAGAGGCAAGAUCAUUGCUAAUUGAAAACUUUUCCCAAUACCCUGCCAUAAUGACAUGAAAUGUAGUCCACAUUGGCAAUUUUUGAUAGUCUCUAAGGAGU